AUGCGGUGGCCGGCCACCUGGGCCGCUGCGGAGUUGGACGGCGGGGGCAGGAAGGCGGAGCCUCCGCCGCGGGGCCCUCUAUUGAUGAAAGGGCGGGGCGGCGCUCGGGGCCCAUUGGCCGGCGCCUUGCCCAGGGGACGAAGCCCGUCCGCCGGGCGGGGUUUGGGCUGUCCCCGAGCUCGGUGCCCCGACGGCUGGGGCAGCAGCACUGCCGAGUCCCGACCCCUGGGCUCAGUGGUGGUGGUUAGCCGCGGUGGGGGGUCUUCGAUGGGGCAGGCGUGGGAGGGCUGGAAGGCCGAGCCGAGGCCUCUGGGUUCCGUGCUGAUAGUCGGGCGGAGCCCGGGUCUAUCACCACCUCCGCGGAGACCGGUCGGCCGAGCUCCAGCCCUGGAGCCGUGGUCUUCGUUGCGGAACCUCCGGAACAACGGACAGAGGGCCGACCCCUGGCACCGGAGGCACGCUUCUGGCGGCGCUCCGGGUCCUCGAGGAGAGGGCUGGGGGGCGGGCGCUCGGCCCAGCGGAACCUUCUUAAAGGGAAGACCCAGCCCAAAUCUUGGGGACCGCCUGUGGCGGGAGGGCGACGGCUGGGGGGCAGGAGAGCGUCCCAGCAGCCCAUUCUUGGUUCGAAGACUCCGGCUCGGGACUUCCCCGGACCGUCCAGGGUAUGAGGGCGGAGCCUCUUCCCCUCGGUUGCGAGAUGGCCGAAGGGCGGAACCUGCCCGCCUUGACUGCCUAUUGGGCGGGAGACCCAGGACCGUCCCCUCCACUCACCAUUGGUCAGAAGGAGCAGCCUCGCCCCCUCAGCGGCAGAGGGGACCUGCCUCCUUCAGACCCCAGCCGGAGGCGAGGGGCCGAGACUUUUCCGUUGAGCUCCAACUCAUUCAAUCACGGUAGCCCCUACGCCUCGGCUCGUAUCCGCUGGGAGAGUGGGGGUCGCAAGGUGGAGCCUCCAACGUCCAGCUCCUUUUGGCCUAGCAGCUCCAGUCCCCGCCCGUCGGCUCCCUAUUGCUGGGAAGAUGAGGCCCCACCCCUAAACUGGAAGGCGGGGCCUCCCUCUCCGCGCUCCUCCUCCUGGGCUGGGAAUCCCAGGUCCCGUUCCUCGAGGCUCCGCUCCGAGGGCACUUUCCCCAGGCCGAGCUCGCCUCCAGGACUCCGCAAGGCAGGGCGAGAGGAACCCUGGUUGAACUUCCGCUCGGAGGCUGUAAGAGAGUGUGGUCCCGGGGUACCCCCAACUCAACAGUCCUGGUCUAGAGGGGGAAGAGGAGCAACUUCGAACUCCUCUACUGUCAGAAGAACUGCGCACUCUGUAGCACAGCCCGCCUCUCGUAACUACCCGGACCCG
Molecule: long non-coding RNA, 1342 nt
Filed under: Monodelphis domestica (gray short-tailed opossum)
Lineage: Eukaryota; Metazoa; Chordata; Mammalia; Didelphimorphia; Didelphidae
Description: lncRNA (ENSMODG00000044351.1)
Source: RNAcentral